This 270-nucleotide ribosomal RNA is filed under the name uncultured prokaryote. Its description in RNAcentral is "partial 16S ribosomal RNA". It matches the Rfam family "Bacterial small subunit ribosomal RNA", at positions 524 to 794 of the family's 1533-position model. The record is from RNAcentral.
UACGUAGGGUGCGAGCGUUAAUCGGAAUUACUGGGCGUAAAGCGUGCGCAGGCGGUUUGCUAAGACAGGUGUGAAAUCCCCGGGCUUAACCUGGGAACUGCGCUUGUGACUGUCAGGCUAGAGUACGGUAGAGGGGGUGGAAUUCCUGGUGUAGCAGUGAAAUGCGUAGAUAUCAGGAGGAACACCGAUGGCGAAGGCAGCCCCCUGGGCCUGUACUGACGCUCAUGCACGAAAGCGUGGGGAGCAAACAGGAUUAGAUACCCGGGUAGU